Molecule: long non-coding RNA, 1276 nt
Filed under: Brassica napus (rape)
Lineage: Eukaryota; Viridiplantae; Streptophyta; Magnoliopsida; Brassicales; Brassicaceae
Description: long non-coding RNA (BNAP_LNC014759)
Source: RNAcentral
AGUUGUGAUGAUGAACUGUGUAUGCAUUGUUCUCUACUUAUGAAGGACUAAAUUGUGUUAAUAAUGUAAUUGAUAUAGUUCGUGGUGUUGUUUGCUAUGUCGCUGGGACUUAUUGUUUGUUUGUCUUUUUAAUUUGUUUCUUGUACUGUUGAGAGUACAUAAAUUAUAUUAAAGUUGUUGAGAGUACCUUUUGUUUAUAGAUAUUUUUUCUCCAGUCUAGUUGUGUGUAAGUAAUAAUUUUAUUAUCCUUAUUAUCCUUAUUAUGUUUGUUAUAUGUUUUUAUUUUAUUUUUAAACUUGUUGCUCUUACCGGACCUUUAAAACAAAUACAUGAAGACUUGUAGAAAUAACUAUAAAAUGAGUGACAGUUCUGAGUAUUUGGGCCGUAAUGGGGUUUAAACGAAUUUAUGCAUUUCUCAUAAGAAGACAAUAGCAUUGACAUGUUGAUAUUGGGCAUGUAAGCUAUUUUUAUAAGACAAGAGUAGGGAGCAUGUGGAGAUGUUGUUGCUGCCUUUGUGUCUGUCAGGAUUGUCUCUUGUCUCUCCUCGUGUAGAUGUGUUUGUUUAUCUUUUAUUUGACAUGUAAUAUGUAAACAAAAAUCAUUGUUAGCAGUAUUUAUCAGAGUUCGUAAUUUACUUUGUUUUUUUUGUUUAGGUAAUUUUACUGAUUUUGGUUGUCGUUUUCGUCUUCUUCGUUGCGAAAGUAGUUUGUAAAUUGUUAAAUAGCUGGCCGUGUAGUUUGUAUUUGUUUAGCUGACUUGAUGUAUGUGUCGUUAAGUUUUAGUUGAAGUGAUUGGAUUGGUAUAUUUGUUUUGAAGUUUACUUCUGAGAUUAGACAAAAAAGAAAGGUAAUAAUUAAUGAUCCGUGUUUUUUGGAAUUAUAGUUUUUGGUGUUUUGAUUGUUUGGGUUGUUGUGAUUUCUUUUAAGGUGUAAAAUUAGUUUGAUAAGUAAGAGAGAUAAAUAGACGACCACAGAAUAGGAAAUAUUUUUUGAUUAUUAAUGUUAGCACAAUAUAAAUAAUAAUAUAAAGAGAAUUGUGUGUUGAUUGUUUCUUACGGAUCAAUGAGGAGACGGAUAAGGACCGAGUUGUUUCUUUGGUAAGGUCAGAGCCCUGGACAUAACGGAUUUGCCCAACCACAUCUGCGAGUUUAAAUAUCAGUUAUGAUAUCGAAACAUAAUAUAAACCCAGAUGCAAUAUGAUAAUAUACCUUGGAGUUCUAGGUUUGUGUUCGCAAUCACUUGGAAAUUGUCGAACAGUCUAGUUAUGACUGGAAAUU